CCUACGGGGGGCUGCAGUGGGGAAUAUUGGACAAUGGGGGCAACCCUGAUCCAGCGACGCCGCGUGUGUGAAGAAGGCCUGCGGGUUGUAAAGCACUUUUAGUGGGGAGGAAGGUCUGCGACCUAACACGUCGUGGAAUUGACUUAACCCACAGAAAAAGCACCGGCUAACUCUGUGCCAGCAGCCGCGGUAAUACAGAGGGUGCAAGCUGUGAUCGGAAUGACUGGGCGUGAUGUCGUCGUAGGGAUGUGAAAGCCCCGGGCUCAACCUGGGAAUUGCAUUCGAGACUGCGAAGCUGGAGUGCGGAAGAGGGAAGUGGAAUAUCCGGUGUAGCGGUGAAAUGCGUAGAUAUCGGAAGGAACAUCAGUGGCGAAAGCGACUUCCUGGUCCAGCACUGACGCUCAGGCACGAAAGCGUGGGGAGCAAACAGGAUUAGAUACCCGGGUAGUC
Molecule: ribosomal RNA, 450 nt
Filed under: uncultured bacterium
Lineage: Bacteria
Description: partial 16S ribosomal RNA
Rfam family: Bacterial small subunit ribosomal RNA
Source: RNAcentral